RNAcentral lists this ribosomal RNA (425 nucleotides) under uncultured prokaryote. RNAcentral's name for it is "bacterial SSU rRNA". It matches the Rfam family "Bacterial small subunit ribosomal RNA", at positions 355 to 774 of the family's 1533-position model. The record is from RNAcentral.
UCUAGAGGCUUCGUCAAUGGGGGCAACCCUGAACGAGCGACGCCGCGUGUGGGAUUGAAGGCCUUCGGGUCGUAAACCACUGUCAUUGGGGAAGAAUGCCUGGAUGGCGAAUCCAGGAGCGACGGUACCCAAGAAGGAAGCCCCGGCUAACUCCGUGCCAGCAGCCGCGGUAAUCCGGAGGGGGCAAGCGUUGUUCGGAUUUACUGGGCGUAAAGGGUGUGUAGGCGGUUGCGUAAGUCUGGUGUGAAAUCUUCACCGCUCAACGGGAAGAGGUCACUGGAAACUGCGUAACUCGAGUAUGGAAGAGGCAAGCGGAAUUCCUGGUGUAGCGGUGGAAUGCGUAGAUAUCAGGAAGAACACCGGUGGCGAAGGCGGCUUGCUGGGCCAUCACUGACGCUGAGACACGAAAGCGUGGGGAGCAAACG